GCUGCCAUGUGUCCCCGAGCGUGGGCUCCGGCGACCGCUCGAUGGCUCCUCGCCCUGGUGGCGCUUCUGGGCCCCGCCGCCCGCGCCUGGGAGCUCACCAUCCUGCACACCAAUGACGUGCACAGCCGCCUGGAGCAGACCAGCGUGGACUCGAGCAAGUGCGUCAAUGCCAGCCUGUGUGUGGGCGGCGUGGCGCGUCUCUACACCAAGGUGCUGCAGAUCCGCAGCUCCGACCCCCACGUGCUGCUGCUCGAUGCUGGCGACCAGUACCAGGGCACCAUCUGGUUCACCGUGUACAAGGGCGCUGAGGUGGCGCACUUCAUGAACGCCCUGGGCUACGAUGCCAUGGCACUGGGAAACCAUGAAUUUGAUAAUGGUGUAGAUGGAUUGAUUGAUCCACUCCUCAAACAGGCCAAAUUUCCAAUUCUGAGUGCAAACAUUAAAGCAAAGGGACCACUAGCAUCUCAAAUAUCAGGACUUUAUUUGCCAUAUAAAAUUCUUCCUGUUGGUGAUCAAGUUGUGGGAAUUGUUGGAUAUACUUCAAAAGAAACCCCUUUUCUUUCAAAACCAGGAAAAAAUUUAGUGUUUGAAGAUGAAAUCAGUGCAUUGCAAACCGAAGUAGAUAAACUGAAAACUCUGAAUGUGAACAAAAUUAUUGCCUUGGGACACUCUGGUUUUGAAAUGGAUAAACUCAUCGCUCAGAAAGUGAAAGGUGUGGAUGUGGUGGUUGGAGGACAUUCCAACACUUUUCUUUAUACAGGUACACCACCUUCCAAGGAGGUGCCUGCUGGGAACUAUCCAUUCAUAGUCACCUCUGAUGAUGGACGGAAGGUUCCUGUAGUCCAGGCCUAUGCAUUUGGCAAAUAUCUAGGCUAUCUGAAGGUGGAGUUUGAUGAGAAAGGAGAAGUCAUCGCUUUACAUGGAAACCCCAUUCUUCUUAACAGCAGCAUUCCUGAAGAUCCAGCCAUAAAAGCAGAUAUUAACAAAUGGAGAAUAAAAUUAGAUAAUUAUUCCACCCAGGAAUUGGGGAAAACAAUCGUCUAUCUGGAUGGCUCCACUGAAUCCUGCCGCUUUAGAGAAUGUAACAUGGGCAACCUGAUUUGUGAUGCUAUGAUCAACAACAAUCUUAGACACCCGGAUGAACUUUCCUGGAACCACGUGUCCAUGUGUAUUUUAAAUGGAGGUGCCAUUCGGUCCCCCAUUGAUGAACAGAACAAUGGCACAAUUACAUGGGAGAACCUGGCUGCUGUGUUGCCUUUUGGAGGCACCUUUGACCUGAUCGAAUUAAAAGGCUCCACCCUGAAGAAGGCCUUUGAACACAGUGUGUACCGCUAUGGCCAGUCCAGUGGAGAAUUCCUGCAGGUUGGUGGAAUUCAUGUGGUAUAUGAUCUCUCCCGAACUCCUGGAAACAGAGUGGUCAGUUUAGAUGUUCUUUGUACACAAUGUCGAGUGCCCAGAUAUGAGCCCCUAAGAGAUGAUGACAUCUAUAAGGUAGUCCUCCCAAAUUUCCUUGCCAAUGGUGGAGAUGGAUUCCAGAUGCUAAGAGAUGAAGUACUCAAACAUGACUAUGGUGACCAAGAUAUUAAUGUGGUUUCUGAAUACAUCUCAAAAAUGCAAGUAAUUUAUCCAGCAGUUGAAGGUCGGAUCAAAUUUUCUACAGGAACUCAUUGCCGUGGAAGCUUUUUUCUAAUAUUUCUUUCACUUGGGGCAGUAAUUUUUAUUUUGUACUAAUAGUCAAGAAAAAGGACUUUCCUUGCCAUCAAUGUGUGGAACUGAAAUUUCCCUCAAGUGAUAUUCCUGUCUUUCAGAAACAAGCUUUGUGAUGGUACAAAUCAUUUUCACAAGCUCCUAGAAACUGAGCUGGGGGGAAGGAAGGAAGGAAGGAAAAAGAAAAUAAAGACUGGCAUCAUCUCUCUGAAUCAGCAGUGAACUCAUCGAAAAAGAAAUGAAAAUGUGAUCCUCCUAGAAAAAGGUCAAGGAUCUUUAGUUUACAUGUGAAAUUUUUAAAUAAAUGUUAACUAUUUUAA
Molecule: RNA transcript, 2027 nt
Organism: Suncus etruscus (white-toothed pygmy shrew)
Lineage: Eukaryota; Metazoa; Chordata; Mammalia; Eulipotyphla; Soricidae
Gene: NT5E
Gene name: 5'-nucleotidase ecto
Exons: 10
Source: RefSeq, a predicted model, not a curated record